Molecule: long non-coding RNA, 345 nt
Filed under: Populus tremula
Lineage: Eukaryota; Viridiplantae; Streptophyta; Magnoliopsida; Malpighiales; Salicaceae
Description: long non-coding RNA (PTRE_LNC000900)
Source: RNAcentral
CUUGGCCAUGAUUGCUCCUAUUCUUUGCUCCUCUGCCUCCAGAUGAGCAGCAUGAGCAGACUCUAAGGAUUCCUUUGUAGCAAUCAGCUCAAUAGUGAGUUCCUCUACAGUCUUCUCAACUUCCUUGGAUGCAGAAACAGCCACUUCAGCUUUUUUCACAGCUUCAUCUUUCUCACUAACCAAAGAAGCAUAUUCCUUGUGCAGUGCUUCCAACUCAUCAUUAACAGCCUUUAGUUCUGAUACCGCAGCUGAAUGCCUGGCUUUAGCAACCUCAAGUUGUGCCUUGGCUGCAACACUAGCUUCAUCAGCAAUCCCCUGUUCCAUUUCUUCCACCCUGAGCUUGAC